ACUUACGGCCAUACCAGCCUGGGUACGCCCGAUCUCGUCUGAUCUCGGAAGCUAAGCAGGGUCGGGCCUGGUUAGUACUUGGAUGGGAGACCGCCUUGGAAUACCAGGUGCUGUAAGCA
Molecule: ribosomal RNA, 119 nt
Filed under: Salmo salar (Atlantic salmon)
Lineage: Eukaryota; Metazoa; Chordata; Actinopteri; Salmoniformes; Salmonidae
Source: RNAcentral